RNAcentral lists this unclassified non-coding RNA (336 nucleotides) under soil metagenome. RNAcentral's name for it is "partial contains 5.8S ribosomal RNA, internal transcribed spacer 2, and large subunit ribosomal RNA". The stretch from base 1 to 120 matches the Rfam family "5.8S ribosomal RNA", at positions 35 to 154 of the family's 154-position model. The record is from RNAcentral.
GAUGAAGAACGUAGCGAAAUGCGAUAAGUAAUGUGAAUUGCAGAAUUCAGUGAAUCAUCGAAUCUUUGAACGCACAUUGCGCCCGCCAGUAUUCUGGCGGGCAUGCCUGUUCGAGCGUCAUUUCAACCAUCAAGCUCCCGGGCUUGCGUUGGGGCCCUGCGGCUGCCGCAGGCCCCUAAAACCAGUGGCGGGCUCGCUGUCACACCGAGCGCAGUAGCAUUUCUUCGCUCUGGGCGCGGCGGCGGGCGCUUGCCGUAAAACAGACCACUUUGUAAAGGUUGACCUCGGAUCAGGUAGGAAUACCCGCUGAACUUAAGCAUAUCAAUAAGCGGAGGA